AGGAAGGUAGUGUAGUUAACACCUGCAUUAUUUGACGUUACCUACAGAAGAAGCACCGGCUAACUCCGUGCCAGCAGCCGCGGUAAGUACGGAGGGGUGCGAGCGUUAAUACGGUAAUUACGUGGGCGUAAAGCGCAUGCAGGCGGCCGUGUUAAGUCAGAUGUAGAAAGGCCCGGGGACCUUAACCCGUACGGUAAGUUGCUAUUUAGUAAACGUGGCGAGGCUAGAGUCUUGUAGAGGGGGGUAGGAAUUUCAGGUGUAGCGGUGAAAUGCGUAGAGAUCUGAAGGAAUACCAGUGGCGAAGGCGGCCCCCUGGACAAAGACUGACGCUCAGAUGCGAAAGCGUGGGGAGCAAACAGGAUUAGAUACCCUGGUAG
Molecule: ribosomal RNA, 377 nt
Filed under: uncultured bacterium
Lineage: Bacteria
Description: bacterial SSU rRNA
Rfam family: Bacterial small subunit ribosomal RNA
Source: RNAcentral